AAAAGAAUGGGGAAGUAUUGGUUCCAGACCUGCUGCAGAGAGAGGCUCAAAGAGACUCGGCACUGGCAGAACAAAGAAACCUAGGAGGGAAGCUUUGCUCCAAAAGAGAGGUUUUGCUUCAGGAGAAGACUGUUCCAAGGAAAGAGAGACUGGCUGUUUCAAACUCAAAAAAGCUGAUCUUAUGGCUCUUAGCAAAAUACAUGAAGGCCAUCAUCGGAUGUGGGCUGAUUGAUCUUGGACUUCCAAGCCUCCAGAACUAGAACUACUCCACCAUCAUCUGAUGUGGUUCUGAUGGCUGUGUGUUUCUCACCUUUAUCCUCAGCCUGUGGGUAAUUUAAAAUAAAUACUUUUGCAAGUGAACCAAUAGAAAUAUUUCACUGUCAUUGAGCAGAAAGCUAAAAACCUAAUUACGUUGGAAGUAGGAAGAGGAAGUAAGUAUGGUUGGAAGAGGUGGGAGUCUGGUGCUGCCAGAGCAGAAAGCACAAAGAAGAACGUGCUUUUAGGUGGGUGCCCUAAGGGACAUGAUAAGU
RNAcentral lists this long non-coding RNA (530 nucleotides) under Pan troglodytes (chimpanzee). RNAcentral describes it as "lincRNA". Lineage: Eukaryota; Metazoa; Chordata; Mammalia; Primates; Hominidae. The record is from RNAcentral.